Molecule: transfer RNA, 56 nt
Filed under: Phytophthora infestans (potato late blight agent)
Lineage: Eukaryota; Oomycota; Peronosporomycetes; Peronosporales; Peronosporaceae
Also listed under: 1 other name
Rfam family: tRNA
About the family: Transfer RNA (tRNA) molecules are approximately 80 nucleotides in length.
Source: Rfam by way of RNAcentral
AGCUCAGUGGUCGAGCGUUGGCUUUGGAAGCCACAGGUCGGUGGUUCCAAUCCACC